AACGUAGGAUCCGAGCGUUAUCCGAAUUUACUGGGCGUAAAGCGCGUGCAGGCGGUUUGGUAAGUUGGAUGUAAAAGCUCCUGGCUCAACUGGGAGAUGUCGUUCAAAACUGCCAGACUAGAGGAUGGUAGAGGGAGGUGGAAUUCCGGGUGUAGUGGUGAAAUGCGUAGAUAUCCGGAGGAACACCAGUGGCGAAGGCGGCCUCCUGGGCCAUUCCUGACGCUCAGACGCGAAGGCUAGGGUAGCGAACGGG
This 253-nucleotide ribosomal RNA is filed under the name uncultured bacterium. RNAcentral describes it as "partial 16S ribosomal RNA". It matches the Rfam family "Bacterial small subunit ribosomal RNA", at positions 524 to 776 of the family's 1533-position model. The record is from RNAcentral.